UAAAUUUUGAUCAGUUUUUACAGACUUAAAACAAAAAAAUGCAGCCAUCUACAAAUUAAGCAAUAAUAAAACAUGAAAGGUUGAUAUUUGGUUAUAUUCAAACAAUUAAAAAAUUGGUGGGCAAAUGUUAUGUGUAAAAGAAAUUCAAAGGUGAAUAUCCAUUUUUCCUGCAUUUUGAAGCAUUUUUUGCUUCCAAAUUACUUCCCUUGGAUUACUCUCUAGCGUUUGGAGGUACAAUAUGUAGGCACUUGUAGUGGUAAAUAAAUAGUUUGGUGAGAAAACUUAUCAAAGCGGGUCCGGGGAAAGGAUUGGCAGUGUGGAAGAAGGAAAAAAGGCCAAGAUAUAAUACAUAAGAAGACAAGAGGAUUCACCAAAGAGGAUGAAAAGGAAAAGGAACAAGAACAUAUACACAUGUAAAUCAUGGCUAUAACAGAAUUCAAAUGAAACCUUGAAGUUAAUUUUGGAAAAGACAAUUUCAGGAAUUGGGACAGCUUAUAGAUGCAUUUCUCUUCAAGGUAGAAAAAAGUCAUCUUAAAUAUAUAAGUGGAGAUGCAAUAUCAUGAAGUUCAAAGUAAAGUGCAAAGCUGAAUAUCAUAAAAUCUCCAAACAAUGGUGAAGCCUUAAAAGUUGGAGAUAUGGCAUUAAACUUUUUCCUUAGAAAGUACCUUGAUGUCUGUUACUAGUAAUUUAGUUUCCCAUAUGAGGAGCAAUGUAGCUGGCUUGUCAGAGUGAUUUUCCUGAAGAUGAAAUUGGAAAUGAGAAUAUUCAUGUGUGUCUCCAUACUGGAAAUCCUCAAGAUUCAACCAAUUUCUAAGUGACUCAG
Molecule: long non-coding RNA, 823 nt
Organism: Saccostrea cuccullata (small rock oyster)
Lineage: Eukaryota; Metazoa; Mollusca; Bivalvia; Ostreida; Ostreidae
Exons: 3
Source: RefSeq, a predicted model, not a curated record